This 425-nucleotide ribosomal RNA is filed under the name uncultured prokaryote. RNAcentral's name for it is "bacterial SSU rRNA". It matches the Rfam family "Bacterial small subunit ribosomal RNA", at positions 355 to 796 of the family's 1533-position model. The record is from RNAcentral.
UAACGAAUCUUCCGCAAUGCGCGAAAGCGUGACGGAGCAAUGCCGCGUGCAGGAUGAAGCCCUUCGGGGUGUAAACUGCUGUCAGGGUUCAGGAAGAAAGUGACCAAACCCAAAGGAAGGGCCGGCUAACUUCGUGCCAGCAGCCGCGGUAAUACGAAGGGCCCGAGCGUUGCGCGGAAUCACUGGGCUUAAAGCGUACGUAGGCGGACAUGUAGGCGUCUUGUGAAAGCCCUCGGCUCAACCGAGGAAUUGCUUGGCGAACCAUAUGUCUUGAGGCAGGUAGAGGCUGUCGGAACGAUAGGUGGAGUGGUGAAAUGCGUUGAUAUCUAUCGGAACGCCGAAGGAGAAAUCAGGCAGCUGGGCUUGUCCUGACGCUGAGGUACGAAAGCGUGGGGAGCGAACGGGAUUAGAUACCCCCGUAGUCC